UCACCCUCCACAACCACAAGACCCAUGUGCUUAAUAUGCCAGGAGACUACAGCUGUAAUGACAAUUUCCAAUUUCAAACGGCAUUGUAAGACGAAGCAAAGGAAUUUUGAGGAGACAUUUCCUCAAAAUUCAGAGCUCACCAGAAGAGAGUCAAUGUAAUGUCUGAUUGAGCUGAACAGAGCAGGACUUGUCCGGACCAUUCAUGAAAGGCACCAACCCCUUAACUGAACUGACCUACCGGUGGAUAACAUGUCUGAUAUUGAACCUCCUUUUACGUGAACUCUUCUAUUGGCACUGAAGACUCGUGAAGGUGUUGGAGAUGGAGAUGGAGAGAAGGGAGAGGGAGCGACAGAGAGAUGUCAUCAUUUUGGACUCAGGAUGAAAUAAAGAGCAAUCCAUCAAUC
This is a long non-coding RNA of Notolabrus celidotus (New Zealand spotty), 404 nucleotides long. RefSeq lists it as uncharacterized. The transcript is spliced from 4 exons. NCBI's taxonomy places the organism in Eukaryota, Metazoa, Chordata, Actinopteri, Labriformes, Labridae. The record is from RefSeq and is a predicted model, not a curated record.